RNAcentral lists this long non-coding RNA (253 nucleotides) under Elaeis guineensis (African oil palm). Its description in RNAcentral is "long non-coding RNA (EGUI_LNC021997)". The record is from RNAcentral. Lineage: Eukaryota; Viridiplantae; Streptophyta; Magnoliopsida; Arecales; Arecaceae.
GUGGGGUUUUUGUGGUUCUGUAAGCUGUUGUUAUGUUUCCUACCAUAGCCACAGCUCCUUUGCAUUACCGAAAAAAACAAAAAGAAAAACAUCCCUAAAUAUGCUGAGGAUGAUGGAUAGGCUAUCAAUCAUCUAUUUAGAGGACUCAUAUUUUGUCCAUGUAAAAAGACCACUACCAAUUUACGAUCCAAGCAACUCUGGAAGCAACAAAUUGGUGACAUAUGGCAUAUUUCACAAAAUAACUGCUCCUUGA